This 497-nucleotide ribosomal RNA is filed under the name uncultured bacterium. RNAcentral's name for it is "partial 16S ribosomal RNA". It matches the Rfam family "Bacterial small subunit ribosomal RNA", at positions 28 to 507 of the family's 1533-position model. The record is from RNAcentral.
GAUGAACGCUGGCGGCGUGCCUAAUACAUGCAAGUCGAGCGAACGGACGAGAAGCUUGCUUCUCUGAUGUUAGCGGCGGACGGGUGAGUAACACGUGGAUAACCUACCUAUAAGACUGGGAUAACUUCGGGAAACCGGCGCUAAUACCGGAUAAUAUUUUGAACCGCAUGGUUCAAAAGUGAAAGACGGUCUUGCUGUCACUUAUAGAUGGAUCCGCGCUGCAUUAGCUAGUUGGUAAGGUAACAGCUUACCAAGGCAACGAUGCAUAGCCGACCUGAGAGGGUGAUCGGCCACACUGGAACUGAGACACGGUCCAGACUCCUACGGGAGGCAGCAGUAGGGAAUCUUCCGCAAUGGGCGAAAGCCUGACGGAGCAACGCCGCGUGAGUGAUGAAGGUCUUCGGAUCGUAAAACUCUGUUAUUAGGGAAGAACAUAUGUGUAAGUAACUGUGCACAUCUUGACGGUACCUAAUCAGAAAGCCACGGCUAACUACGUG